RNAcentral lists this ribosomal RNA (303 nucleotides) under Triticum aestivum (bread wheat). RNAcentral describes it as "partial small subunit ribosomal RNA". Lineage: Eukaryota; Viridiplantae; Streptophyta; Magnoliopsida; Poales; Poaceae. The record is from RNAcentral.
AUGAAGGAUAUGUCGAGUUCAUCAAAUCAGGAGAUACCUACUCCAUCUAGUGAGGAAUUCACUGUAAUUCCUGAACCCACCAUUGCGAUGGAACAAGUUGAGAUUCCUGUUGAGGGUGACAAUGGAACUCCUGUGAGGAGUAAGAGACAGAGGACUGCAAAGUCCUUUGGUGAUGAUUUCAUUGUGUACCUCGUGGAUGACACACCCAGGACUAUUUCAGAAGCCUAUGCAUCUCCUGACGCUGACUACUGGCCGGAAGCUGUAUGUAGCAAGAUGGAUUCCAUCUUAGCUAACGGUACCUAG